This 187-nucleotide ribosomal RNA is filed under the name uncultured eukaryote. Its description in RNAcentral is "partial 18S ribosomal RNA". It matches the Rfam family "Eukaryotic small subunit ribosomal RNA", at positions 1299 to 1458 of the family's 1831-position model. The record is from RNAcentral.
CGGUGGAGUGAUUUGUUUGGUUGAUUCCGUCAACGGACGAGAUCCAAUCUGCCCAGUAGGAACCUGAAGUCUUCUCAACGACAGCAAUCCGUGGCCCGCUUCGGCGCGGUCAUUGGAUACCUCUUCGGUGGUUUCUUCUCUGCAGGAUUCCUUGCUCCCGCGCAAGGUGAGAUUUUGGGCAACAGCA